UUGUACGCCCUCGCUGUGAUCUCGCUGUGUCAUUACUGAUGUCGUCGUCUUGACCUUGGAGUGGUGUUUCACAGUCAACGGUAUACCUUUGUAAUCCUUCGGUGCCUACAUUUUAAUCUUUAAUUCCUACAAGGAAAACAUGUGUUAACGUCUCGGAUUUUGUCCAGAGCCUAACUUUUGGACAGCCUGCAUUAAAUCAGAUCCCCGCCGGGUCGAAAAUUUAAACGAGUGGUUAGAUGCUGCUGCAGAGUGGAAUGGCGUGAAUUUGAAAGCUACUGGCUUACAUUUGCCGGAUUCGUUUUGAAAGCCUGGAAUGCGAAUUAGAAAUUUAGCCAGAUUAAAAUAUCGUGAGAAGUUAUAUUUAAAGAUGAGGAACCUAUGUAGCCCUUCACAUUACUGACCUGUAAUAAUAUUCUCACCGGAAACGUGGCCACGUGACGGUAAGAAUUCUUCUCGUAUUUUUGGCCGCAGCGCAUCCUCCCUGAGGCCGUGGGCUGAACUGGGUUACUGUUUGCAGUGAGGCCUCCUGGCUGGCCGGGAAUCUCCCUUGACUUGGCUAUGUCUCGCUUUGGGUUCCUGACUUCUUCGAGUGGAGAGUGUUUCCUCAGCUUUGCCCACCGGGUGAUGUCGGGCAGACAGCCCUUUCCUUGCGGUUUCUCCCUCUCCUGAGUUCUGAGUGGCCGCCCCGAUAACGUCUCCGCUCCCUCUUCUCCGUCGUUCCCCACGUGAAAGUGUCUCCUCGGCCUCGAGGAGAGAGCGGAUUUCCAUUUAGGGUCAAAAGAACUCUCAGCUGAUGGCACGCUGCCCUGAAAUGGCAAAGGUUUCCGCCCACGCAGCAGCCCAGUGGCAAGUCUUGUCAUAAGGGGUGUUGAAAGGGGGAUGCCAGCAUCUACGAAGCUCUGCCCAGGAGGCCUCUGAGGUUAUCCCGUUCGCUGAGACGCUGGGGUGAAAAUGCACGCUUUGCCCACGCCUUGGGGGAGGAAACUUUAUUUAUCGCCAAGGAAUGGUGUCUUCUUCCACCUAGACCGGGAGAUGUGACUCUCCCUGCGGGAGGGAGACUCUCCUUCCGCAGUUUAAGCGCACACACUUUUCUCUGGCACCAAACUCGGUACCACCAUUUCAAAGCCAAGUGGGCGCCUGCCCCUUGGAAGCUGGGACAUUGUCUCGGAGAGGUCGGGGCCCACGCCGAUGGGGGGCUUCAGUGCUUUCUUUCUUGGCAUUUAUGGCCAGCAGCGCGUGAGCUCUGCCUGCCCUGAAGGAGCCCCGCGCGUGGAGGGUUGGUCCGAGAGAGGCACAGAUGGAACGGGUUUGGAUCUGGGGCCCCCGAACCCUGAUGACGAGCCGUGAACUGCCCCUUGCAGGGAGGGGGCCACCUUCCAGAGCCACAAAACUCACAGACAGGUCUCCAAGCCAGAGGGUAUUUUAAAAUUUUGUUUUAAGCCCUAGGAAAGACGAUUCUUGCUUAUUAAGAGAGAUUUUCCCCAUUUUGUGCAAGCACAGUGUUUCUCGUAAGUUCUUUGGAGGUCCUUUAUUAAA
Molecule: long non-coding RNA, 1536 nt
Organism: Physeter macrocephalus (sperm whale)
Lineage: Eukaryota; Metazoa; Chordata; Mammalia; Artiodactyla; Physeteridae
Exons: 2
Source: RefSeq, a predicted model, not a curated record